This 235-nucleotide ribosomal RNA is filed under the name uncultured bacterium. Its description in RNAcentral is "partial 16S ribosomal RNA". It matches the Rfam family "Bacterial small subunit ribosomal RNA", at positions 28 to 258 of the family's 1533-position model. The record is from RNAcentral.
GACGAACGCUGGCGGCGUGCUUAACACAUGCAAGUCGAGCGGUAAAGGCCCUUUCGGGGUACACGAGCGGCGAACGGGUGAGUAACACGUGGGUGACCUGCCCUCACGCUCUGGGAGUAAAGCCUGGGAAACCGGGUCUAAUACUCGGAUAUGACUCCAUGACGCAUGUUGUGGGGUGGUAAAGCCUUGUGCGGCGUGAGGAUGGGCCCGCGGCCUAUCAGCUUGUUGGUGGGGU